RNAcentral lists this transfer RNA (74 nucleotides) under Caudoviricetes sp. RNAcentral describes it as "tRNA-Gly". It matches the Rfam family "tRNA". Rfam says of the family: Transfer RNA (tRNA) molecules are approximately 80 nucleotides in length. The record is from RNAcentral. Lineage: Duplodnaviria; Heunggongvirae; Uroviricota; Caudoviricetes.
GCGGGAUUGGUGUAAAUGGCAGCACAAGUGACUUCCAAUCAUUUAGUGCCGGUUCAACUCCGGUAUCUCGCUCA